This 253-nucleotide ribosomal RNA is filed under the name uncultured bacterium. Its description in RNAcentral is "partial 16S ribosomal RNA". It matches the Rfam family "Bacterial small subunit ribosomal RNA", at positions 524 to 776 of the family's 1533-position model. The record is from RNAcentral.
UACGAAGGGGGCUAGCGUUGCUCGGAAUCACUGGGCGUAAAGCGCACGUAGGCGGCUUUCUAAGUCAGGGGUGAAAUCCUGGAGCUCAACUCCAGAACUGCCUUUGAUACUGGAAAGCUCGAGUCCGGGAGAGGUGAGUGGAACUCCGAGUGUAGAGGUGAAAUUCGUAGAUAUUCGCAAGAACACCAGUGGCGAAGGCGGCUCACUGGCCCGGUACUGACGCUGAGGUGCGAAAGCGUGGGGAGCGAACAGG